Molecule: long non-coding RNA, 541 nt
Organism: Salvia miltiorrhiza (redroot sage)
Lineage: Eukaryota; Viridiplantae; Streptophyta; Magnoliopsida; Lamiales; Lamiaceae
Exons: 3
Source: RefSeq, a predicted model, not a curated record
CUUUCCGUAAUAUUUGAUAAACACAGCAGCACGUAAGAUUUGAUCAACACAGCAACAAACUUUGAUUUCAAACUUUAAUUUCUACCGCAGCAAACUUUGAUUUCUUUCACACAGUAGUUGACGAACGAGUAAAUUCAAUCUAUUUAAACCUAAUUGUAUCAUCCUCAUUCCAUCAGCUUCGAAUCAUAAACCAUCAACUGAAUUCUCCAUUUGCUCUUUUCACAAAAUAACUCAAAUCUGCCACUCUCACUACAAAUUUCAGCUUUGCCACUUUCAGCUGGUGCGGCGCGACUAGGACGUGAACUUUAAAUUCUUGCAGUUAAUUUUCAAAACUCAAAAGUUCAAGUUUCAGUUUCAGGUGAUUGAUAUCGGAGGCGCGUGGAGAGUCGAAUGGGCGCGUCGAAUCUAUUUAAAAUAAAUGUUUCUUAAAACAUAUUAUGUUAUUUCAUGUUAUAUCUUUUGGUUAUGUAAACUCUGAAAUUCUAUACUAUUUGAGAUUUGUGUGUGAUUUAUUUAAAUAAAUGUUGUUAUAUUAUUUUAA